UGGGGAAUUUUGCACAAUGGGCGCAAGCCUGAUGCAGCGACGCCGCGUGAGGGAUGAAGGCCUUCGGGUUGUAAACCUUUUUCGCUCAUGGUCAAGCCGCAGCUUUGGGUUGUGGUGAGGGUAGUGGGUAAAGAAGCGCCGGCUAACUACGUGCCAGCAGCCGCGGUAAUACGUAGGGCGCGAGCGUUGUCCGGAAUUAUUGGGCGUAAAGCGAGCGCAGGCGGUUAGAUAAGUCUGAAGUUAAAGGCAGUGGCUCAACCAUUGUAGGCUUUGGAAACUGUUUAACUUGAGUGCAGAAGGGGAGAGUGGAAUUCCAUGUGUAGCGGUGAAAUGCGUAGAUAUAUGGAGGAACACCGGUGGCGAAAGCGGCUCUCUGGUCUGUAACUGACGCUGAGGCUCGAAAGCGUGGGGAGCGAACAGG
RNAcentral lists this ribosomal RNA (421 nucleotides) under Bacteroidota bacterium. RNAcentral describes it as "Bacteroidetes bacterium partial 16S ribosomal RNA". It matches the Rfam family "Bacterial small subunit ribosomal RNA", at positions 355 to 776 of the family's 1533-position model. The record is from RNAcentral. Lineage: Bacteria; Pseudomonadati; Bacteroidota.